RNAcentral lists this ribosomal RNA (392 nucleotides) under uncultured bacterium. RNAcentral describes it as "bacterial SSU rRNA". It matches the Rfam family "Bacterial small subunit ribosomal RNA", at positions 29 to 409 of the family's 1533-position model. The record is from RNAcentral.
AGUGAACGCUGGCGGCGUGCCUAACACAUGCAAGUCGAGCGAAGUGGCAGCUGUAGCAAUACAGUAUGUGCUUAGCGGCAGACGGGUGAGUAACACGUAGAUAAUUUACCUCUUAGCGGGGGAUAGCCCGCCGAAAGGCGGGGUAAUACCGCGUACGAUCAAGAUUCGGCAUCGGAUUUUGAUGAAACACCCGCAAAGGUGGCUAAGAGAGAAUUCUGCGCCUAUCAGCUAGUUGGUGAGGUAACGGCUCACCAAGGCUACGACGGGUAUCCGACCUGAAAGGGUGACCGGACACACUGACACUGAGACACGGGUCAGACUCCUACGGGAGGCAGCAGUGAGGAAUUUUGGACAAUGGGGAAACCCUGAUCCAGCGACGCCGCGUGAAGGAU